RNAcentral lists this ribosomal RNA (497 nucleotides) under uncultured bacterium. RNAcentral describes it as "partial 16S ribosomal RNA". It matches the Rfam family "Bacterial small subunit ribosomal RNA", at positions 28 to 507 of the family's 1533-position model. The record is from RNAcentral.
GACGAACGCUGGCGGCGUGCCUAAUACAUGCAAGUCGAGCGAACAGAUGAGGAGCUUGCUCCUCUGACGGUAACGGCGGACGGGUUAGUAACACGUUGAUAACCUACCUAUAAGACUGGGAUAACUUCGGGAAACCGGAGCUAAUACCGGAUAAUAUAUUGAACCGAAUGGUUCACUAGUGAAAGACGGUUUUGCUGUCACUUAUAGAAGGAUCCGCGCCGCAUUAGCUAGUUGUUAAGGUAACGGCUUACCAAGGCAACGAUGCGUAGCCGACCUGAGAGGGUGAUCGGCCACACUGGAAGUGAGACACAGUCGCGACUCCUACGGGAGGAAGCAGUCGGGAAUCCUACGCGAUGGGCGAGAGCCUGACGGAGCAACACCGCGUGAGGGAUGAAGGUCUUCGGAUCGUAAAACUCUGUUAUUAGGGAGGAACUAAUGUGUAAGUAACUGUGCACGUCUUGACGGUACCUAAUCAGAAAGCCACGGCUAACUACGUG